GGGCGGUUAGCUCAGCGGAAGAGCGUCUGCCUUACACGCAGGAUGUCGUCCGUUCGAACCGGACACCGCCCACCA
Molecule: transfer RNA, 75 nt
Filed under: Acidobacteriota bacterium
Lineage: Bacteria; Pseudomonadati; Acidobacteriota
Description: Acidobacteria bacterium (sediment metagenome) tRNA-Val
Rfam family: tRNA
About the family: Transfer RNA (tRNA) molecules are approximately 80 nucleotides in length. Their secondary structure includes four short double-helical elements and three loops (D, anti-codon, and T loops).
Source: RNAcentral